RNAcentral lists this unclassified non-coding RNA (3440 nucleotides) under Leishmania donovani. RNAcentral describes it as "gene:LdHU3.25.0230(CDS-product:cleavage_and_polya denylation_specificity_factor_putative)". Lineage: Eukaryota; Euglenozoa; Kinetoplastea; Trypanosomatida; Trypanosomatidae. The record is from RNAcentral.
GCCGCGUAGAACGGGCUGGCAACUCCUCUGUCCCCCUCUCUCGCUGCGUUAUUUUGUUUUGUCUUCGCACCGUUUUCUCGCCUCCUCCUACCCCCACCCCCGUACACGCUGUUAUCGCCAUGCUGCGCGCCUCAGCAGGCAGUAUUCAGUUCACUUCGGUGUACGAGUGCACUACCCCUAAUGCGCCCUAUGCCUACCUCAUCGAGAUCGACGGGGUGCGCAUCCUCUUCGACUGCGGAUGGAACGAUGAGUUCGACACGUCCUUCCUCAGCAAGCUGAAGCCGCACCUGCCAACCGUGCAUGCCGUGGUCCUGUCGAGCCCGCACAUCACCGCCUGCGGCGCCCUUCCUUUUGUCCUCAGCCACAUCUCACCCGGCACGUUCGUGGCGGCGGCCGGUGGCACAUCAAAAGUCGGCGUGCACAGUGUCCUGCACUCCUUCCUUUACCAGUACCCGAACUCGCACACGUUCACCCUCGCGGAUGGGGAGGCCUUUACGAUGACGGUGGAUUCCAUCUACCACAGCUUCCGUUCUCUCCGCGAGCCAUACGGCGGCAAGGUCACCGUGAAAAACGGCGACGUCGAGGUCAACUGCCUCGCCGUCUUUGCUGGCCGCAUGCUGGGCGGCUACAGCUGGAUAAUCAAGUACCAAAUCGAUGAGCUAUUCUACUGCCCCGACUUCUCGGUGAAGCCGUCGUACGCGCUGAAGCCGUUUGACGUGCCGACCACUGCGAACAUCGUGCUUGCGAGCAGCUUUCCUUUUCACAUGACCGGCUCGAAUCGGACGACCAAAUACGAGGAGCAACUGAAAAACCUCUUCAAGGAAUUCCAGCACACCCUGCGUGGUGGCAGUGACGUUCUCGUGCCUGUGAACGUCGCAGGUCGUGGGCUGGAGGUAUUGAACAUUAUUGUGCACCUCUUGGCGGAGCAGGGCGGCGACAAGUACAAGGUUGUUCUGGUGGCUGCCCAGGCACAGGAGCUGCUCGACAAGGCGGGCACCAUGACGGAGGCUCUGCAAGACUACUUGAUCCUCGAUGAUAAGCGCCUCUUUGCCAACGUCCUCACGUGUCGCAGCGCGGAGGAGGUGCUCCCGAUCCAGGGCCCGAAGAUCUGUGUCGCAGACGGUGCCUCCCUCGACUUUGGGCCCUCCGCAGAGCUGCUCGAGUACUUCGUGAAGGGGAACCGCGACGGCGCCGAUCACCUCAUCGUCUUGACGGAGCCGCCGUUGCCAGGGACGAACGCGGCCGUUGUCACCGCCGCCGCCGACGGCGAGCGUCUCCACAUGCAAAUCACGCGCCGCAGUCGGUUAAGUGGGGAGGAGUUAGAGGAGUACUACAUUGAGCUCGAGCACGAAAUGGAGCAGCGACGGCGCGAGUUGGAGGCGCGGAGCGCCUUCCAGAUUGUGCAAGACGACGACGAGGCUGCAACUGUCAAAGGAGAAGAGAACGACGACGACGACGACGACGACGGCGAGUGUGCGACGGCGGCGACAGGUCACCGCGGCGCAACUGAGAAAGCUGCCGCCUGCGCCGGCGCCAAGGAUGCCGUCGCCGCAUCCAAGGCGAAGGCGGCGACGACCCUUGGCUUGGUGCUGCCGCCCCCGCUACACUACCAUUCGAAGCAUCUCAGCUUUCCCGUGCUGGAGACCACGAGCACUCUGAGCGCGGCGGCGCUGAAGCGCGUCGAUGUGACGUACGGACUCCCUGUCAGCGAGGAGGAGCAGGUCUUGCUGCAGAAACGCGCGCCUGCACGGCAGCACAGCGAUGCGGGGCCAGAGGCGUUGCAGGUAGAAAACGAUGCGCAGCGACUCGCUAACAUCCCAUCGAAGGUGUCGCGGGUUGCCGUGCAGGUGAACCGGCGCUGCCGCGUUGUCCUGUCCGACCUCAGUGGGUAUCCCGACGCGCUCACCAUGAAGAGCGUCCUCAAGACAAAAUGGACGUUUGCAAAGAAGAUUGUCGGACUUCGCGGCAGCGCCGAAGACGGACGGGCGUUCCUGCACUUCUGUCGCGCCGACAAGGCGAUGAAGUGCGGCUCGAACGUUUUCAGCACCACCUCCUGUGGCGUGCCGCUGGAACUGGCGACGCACGUGUACUCGUAUGCGGUGCAGCUGGAGUCGAGUCUGGCGCGUAGCCUGUCGCGCGGCCUCCGCCGUGUUCGCGAGACGAAGUCGAAGAGCACGUGGGAGGUUGGGUGGGUCAACGGUGAACUCUCUGGCGUGCGUGCAGAGGCCGACCUCGAGGAACAAGAGAUGCAGCGCCGUCGCUCCGAUCGGGCCAUCUACUCCCUCGCCUCUGUGACAGCGGACAAGUCGCAGGCGUGCGCGACACAGCGGGAGCAGCGCGGGCUGCAGAGCGGCUCCUUCUUUGUCGGGGACAUGGACCUGCGCCGCCUGCGCGAGACGUCACGACAGGAAAGCGGGCUGUACAGCGAGUUUCACAAGAAGGCGCCGCUUCUCGUCUUUGACGAAGGCGUGUGUGUCCGCAAAGGCGCGGACGGCACCGUCACGAUCUCUUCCAUUGCCACCCCAGCACUGUUUGAUCUUCGCCGCACUGUUUACCGGCAGUACUCGCAGGCGCUAUAGACGAGGAAGAGGUGGGGUGGGGUUGCAGAGGCAGGCGACAUCUGCAAGGAUGCGGUCAUCUCUUCGGUCAACGGAGUUGUAUUGUCGUCGUCGUGCACGUUGAUGCAUGUGCUUGUGUGGGAAAUGUGUGUAAUGUGUUUGAUUUAAUGGAUGACCCAUGUCCAUUGACAUCGAGUUAGGGAAGAGGGUGGGGUGAUUUCGGUACUCAAGCUGCAUACACGAGCUGAGAUCGUGAGUCCUCUGCGCUGUCUUCGUUAUCCUGUGUCUGCGCAUUGGUGCGUGUGUGCAGAUACUGCUAGUGGAGACGGCAGAAGUGUUUUUUUUUUCGCCUUGGUUCUCUUUUCCUUCUUGCGUGCGCACUGCCGCUUUUCCUGCACAAUGGCACAACCACAGACUGGCAUUCCCCACAAUGAAGGAUAGAAAGCAAUUCCGGCUCCCCCAACCGCACCACGCUCCCUCAUCGCAGCUGUGGCAAGUACUUUUCACGCAUAUUGAGUUCCAGGCGCCUUCGCCACCACGCUUCUUCCCUCUUUUCGUCUCUCGGUUCUUCAGUCGCGGCGCCUGCUUCAUGACUGCCGCACCUCAGAGCCGCUGCUGCGUGGCGGAGGUUGCAUCAUUGCCUCGAUUUGCUGUGGGCGAAGUAGCGGGAAGCGAGGAAGAGAAGUAGGACAGGCCUUUGCAGUGGGGAGGCAACCAAACAGCCAGACCAGCGUACGGAUGAUGGCCAGCACUGCGUGCAAACGCGUUCUGCGCACUUGGAUCCCUCUCGUCUUUACCACGGCUCCUCUCGGUCUCUCUGCGCGUCUGUAACGAUGUCGGCCACUUCGUGUUUCGCAUGCACUGUGUACUGUCGGUGCUCAG